CGGCAACGGCCUAAAACUCAAAGGACUUGGCGGUGCUUCAUACCCCUCUAGAGGAGCCUGUUCUAUAAUCGAUAAACCCCGAUAAACCUCACCAAUCCUUGCUAAUACAGUCUAUAUACCGCCAUCUUCAGCAAACCCUAAAAAGGAAUAAAAGUAAGCGCAAUCAUUAUACAUAAAAACGUUAGGUCAAGGUGUAACCUAUGGAAUGGGAAGAAAUGGGCUACAUUUUCUACUUAAAGAA
This 241-nucleotide ribosomal RNA is filed under the name Hippotragus equinus (roan antelope). RNAcentral describes it as "partial 12S ribosomal RNA". The record is from RNAcentral. Lineage: Eukaryota; Metazoa; Chordata; Mammalia; Artiodactyla; Bovidae.